Molecule: long non-coding RNA, 640 nt
Filed under: Gossypium barbadense (sea-island cotton)
Lineage: Eukaryota; Viridiplantae; Streptophyta; Magnoliopsida; Malvales; Malvaceae
Description: long non-coding RNA (GBAR_LNC015049)
Source: RNAcentral
AACCCUCCUUUCCUCUCCUCUCCUCUCCUCUACAAGGAAAUGGCAAUUUCAUCAACAGCGGCAGCCACUGCCGCUUCUUCUAAGCUUAGAUACCCACACGCCUCCCCUUUCCCAACUCACUCCUCAACCACCACCUCUGCCUUUUUCUCCUCAAUUCCCUCUAAACUAACCCCUACCCACCUCUCCUCUUCCUUCCUCCCUCCUUUCCUCACUACCGUCGCCACCACUUCCGUAUUCCCUCGCCGUCGCGGUUCUUUCACCGUCAAAGCUGCCCGUGGCAAAUUCGAACGCAAAAAGCCCCACGUCAACAUCGGCACCAUCGGCCAUGUCGACCACGGCAAAACCACCUUAACUGCCGCUCUAACUAUGGCCUUAGCCUCCAUGGGUAACAGUGCCCCAAAAAAGUACGACGAAAUUGAUGCCGCCCCUGAAGAGCGUGCCCGUGGUAUCACCAUUAACACCGCCACCGUUGAAUACGAAACCGAGAAUCGCCAUUACGCCCACGUCGACUGCCCAGGGCACGCUGAUUAUGUCAAAAACAUGAUUACCGGAGCUGCCCAAAUGGACGGUGCUAUCUUGGUUGUUUCCGGAGCCGACGGACCCAUGCCCCAGACUAAAGAGCAUAUCUUGUUGGCUAAAC